This 392-nucleotide ribosomal RNA is filed under the name uncultured Desulfuromonas sp. Its description in RNAcentral is "bacterial SSU rRNA". It matches the Rfam family "Bacterial small subunit ribosomal RNA", at positions 992 to 1382 of the family's 1533-position model. Lineage: Bacteria; Pseudomonadati; Thermodesulfobacteriota; Desulfuromonadia; Desulfuromonadales; Desulfuromonadaceae. The record is from RNAcentral.
AUCGCACCUUAUGGAAACAUAGGGGUCAGUUCGGCUGGAUCGGUGACAGGUGCUGCAUGGCUGUCGUCAGCUCGUGUCGUGAGAUGUUGGGUUAAGUCCCGCAACGAGCGCAACCCUUGUCCUUAGUUGCCAGCAUUCAGUUGGGCACUCUAAGGAGACUGCCGGUGUCAAACCGGAGGAAGGUGGGGAUGACGUCAAGUCCUCAUGGCCCUUAUGUCCAGGGCUACGCACGUGCUACAAUGGCCGGUACAAAGGGGCGCAAGACCGCGAGGUGGAGCAAAUCCCAAAAAACCGGUCUCAGUUCGGAUUGGAGUCUGCAACUCGACUCCAUGAAGUUGGAAUCGCUAGUAAUCGCGUAUCAGCAUGACGCGGUGAAUACGUUCCCGGGCCUU